Molecule: ribosomal RNA, 253 nt
Filed under: uncultured bacterium
Lineage: Bacteria
Description: partial 16S ribosomal RNA
Rfam family: Bacterial small subunit ribosomal RNA
Source: RNAcentral
UACGGAGGAUGCAAGCGUUAUCCGGAAUGAUUGGGCGUAAAGCGUCCGCAGGUGGCUAUGUAAGUCUGCUGUUAAAGAGUGAGGCUCAACCUCAUAAAAGCAGUGGAAACUACAUGGCUAGAGUGCGUUCGGGGCAGAGGGAAUUCCUGGUGUAGCGGUGAAAUGCGUAGAGAUCGGCAGGAAUACCGGUGGCGAAGGCGGCAUCCUGGACCGGCAUUGACGCUGAGGAGCGAAAGCCAGGGGAGCAAACGGG